Molecule: ribosomal RNA, 253 nt
Filed under: uncultured bacterium
Lineage: Bacteria
Description: partial 16S ribosomal RNA
Rfam family: Bacterial small subunit ribosomal RNA
Source: RNAcentral
UACAGAGGUGGCAAGCGUUGUUCGGAAUUACUGGGCGUAAAGGGCGCGUAGGCGGCCUUCUAAGUCGGACGUGAAAGCCCCAGGCUUAACCUGGGAACUGCGUCCGAUACUGGGAGGCUUGGAUUCGGGGGAGGGAUGUGGAAUUCCAGGUGUAGCGGUGAAAUGCGUAGAUAUCUGGAGGAAUACCGGUGGCGAAGGCGGCAUCCUGGACCGGCAUUGACGCUGAGGAGCGAAAGCCAGGGGAGCAAACGGG